AACGAACGCUGGCGGCAUGCCUAACACAUGCAAGUCGAACGAGACCUUCGGGUCUAGUGGCGCACGGGUGCGUAACGCGUGGGAACCUGCCCUUAGGUUCGGAAUAACUCCCCGAAAGGGGUGCUAAUACCGGAUAAUGUCUUCGGACCAAAGAUUUAUCGCCUUUGGAUGGGCCCGCGUUGGAUUAGCUAGUUGGUAGGGUAAAAGCCUACCAAGGCGACGAUCCAUAGCUGGUCUGAGAGGAUGAUCAGCCACACUGGGACUGAGACACGGCCCAGACGCCUAGGGGAGGCAGCAGGAGGGAAUCGUACGCAAUGGGCGAAAGGUUGAGGGAGAAAAGCAGAGUGAGUGAUGAAGUUCUUAGGAUCGGAAAACUCUGUGAUUAGGGAAGAACAAAUGCGUAAGUAACUAUGCACGUCUUGACGGUACCUAAUCAGAAAGCCACGGCUAACUACGUG
Molecule: ribosomal RNA, 458 nt
Filed under: uncultured bacterium
Lineage: Bacteria
Description: partial 16S ribosomal RNA
Rfam family: Bacterial small subunit ribosomal RNA
Source: RNAcentral